Long non-coding RNA from Mizuhopecten yessoensis (Yesso scallop), 2836 nucleotides. RefSeq lists it as uncharacterized. The transcript has 3 exons. The record is from RefSeq and is a predicted model, not a curated record. NCBI's taxonomy places the organism in Eukaryota, Metazoa, Mollusca, Bivalvia, Pectinida, Pectinidae.
CCUUUUAAUUUUCGUAACCGAGUUUAGACGGUCAAGGUCGAAUAAGCGUACGACGGAAAACGUGGUUCACAAGGAAGGUCAAAAUCGGAAGGUCGGAUGAUGGCAAGAUAAGCUCAUUAACAAGGGAGGUUACUCAGCCCUAUCUAUAAGGGAGAUUUCUCUGCCUCAACAUGGCUGCUCUAAAGAGAUCUCUAACAAGCACCCAGCGGGCCCUUUCUCGCUCUGGCGUUCCGUUUCUUCAGAUCCAGGGAAAAGGUUCUCCUAGGACAUUCCCAAAGAUAUCAGAAGGGUAUCUGAAGACAUUUGCUGUAGUGGUGGUGGUUUUGGGACUGUCCACUUCCACCUUCUGCAGCAGGAAACUGUCAAGUGAGAAGAAGGACUGUAAUCCAUUUAAACGGCUAUUCUCAGCAGCAUCACAACCAUCAGAAACAAAGGAUGCAAAAGACCAUCAUGUUUCAGUUGGGGUAAAGGAUUUAAAAUGAAAACAAGUGGUCAAGUACAGUGCUUGGUCAAAGAUUUCAAACUGCAUGCAGGACAACAAGUAAACAUAAUAGUUAUAUAGACCUUCCCGCUGCUUUCUGAACUAGGUUAAAUAAUGUGUUGAGGUAACAUUUCUGUUUUAACUUUGGUUUUUAUAAUAAAUUAAAACAUCAAUGUUAUUAAAAUUGGCUGACUUAACAGUUCUCUGAAAAAAACAUUGACAGUGCUUGAUUGCACAUAUAUGCAUGUAACCAAUAAGAAAAUCUUCAUUUAUAAAUCAGCACUUCAAUUUAAACUGCCUAAAAUAAGAAGAUCAUCUGAUGAAAUCUUCUGACUUACCUUCUUACGAAGUGUUUGUAGAAAGGCCCUGGUGUUAAACCCCAUUGUGUUUGUGAAAUUUUAAGCACAUGUUUUUUCGUUACCUUUGCGGGUUUCUUUUUUUGCAUUGAGAGAAAAAAAGGAUCUUCAUUAUUCAAACUCUCAGCAUUUCGUCGUAGCAAGAUACUGGAACCGUAAAAUGUGCCCUGAACCUGCAACUAUAAACCUGUAUAGACCUGGACCUGUAUUCAUGAAACCGUUGCUAAUGCUCUAGCACAGAUUCUGUGCUCCGACCAAUUUUCUUGUAACUCUCAUAAGUUCUGUCAAAUGAUAAAAAAGUCAGAUGUAAAUGAUGGCUUUAAGUCAUUUCAAUUGUUUUCAAAAUCAUUGACAAAAUACUUUUUUAUUAAUUUAAAACCAGAAUAAGAAAUAAGGCUUGAGCACAAAAUUCAUGCUUGAGCAUGAGAACAGUUUCAUGAAUACGGACCCUGAGAACAAGAAGUAGAAACCUGUAUAAACUAGAAAACAUUAAGCAUCAGAGUUUUCUGUCAGACUUGAAUGUUGAGGAACAGAGAAGCAUACCAGUUUGUAUAUUUAUUUUACCUUAUCAUUAUGAGACCUGCAUGGUGUAAUGUGUGAAGUAUGGCUGAAUUAAUUGACAAAUGGACUGAUUACUGUAUAAAUGAAUAUUUGUAGAGUUAUCAUGGAGAAGUUAAGAAUUUGUAAUAAAGGAGGGUGGUUAAUGUGUGUGGGCAGAGGUUAAAGAAUGAAUGGCAAGUAUAAAUGGGUUUUUACCUGUAUAGAAUAAGAUGUUUUCCUUGAGUUGAUAUCUAUUUUAUUUAUUAUUUUAUCCAAUAUCCCUGUCGCUUAUGUAUAUAAAUAUAAUUGAACUAUUGGUAAAUGCUCUGUGAUACAUUGUAACUCUAUAAAAUGAAGUGUGUCAUAUAUGUAUGUACCAUUUAGAAAUGAAUUGUGUGUGCAUGAUUUGGUAGAGGUGUGGUGAAAUGACAUGUCUAUUGUAAGUAUAAUGAAGAUAUCUUAUAUGUUUGGAAACAAAUAGCCGAUUCUUAAAAUUGUGUUAUUUAUGUGUGUUUCUGUUGUCCAUGAUGUAUUUGCAUCAAAAUGUAAUAUAGUAACUCAAAACCGCUGAACAUGUAAGCUGUAUUAAAUACUAUGUUCAACAUGUCCUAAUAUUACCAGAUUACAUUUGACAUUUUUUAAUUAAUGCUGCACACUACAGAAUUUAUUAUUUGGUAUCAUUGUAUUUGAUACUACUCUAUAAUGACUGGGAAGCAGGCCAAGCCUCUGUAAUCCCAACUUUGUAAGCCCUCUGAUAAUCACUAAAUGUUAACCAUAAAUCAAUUGCCUAUCUUGAAAAGUAAUAUAUAAAUUACCAUAUUUAUCCUGCAAAAAGACCAGGAGGUCAGUACAUAAUCUCUUGACUCGGAUUAGAUGGCAGGUUUAUUACAGGGCAAUGAAGUAGGAUUUGUUGGCAUUACAGUGAACUGCAAUAUAGGGGUGGGCUUACUGCACGACAUGUGUAUGUAUAAAUAUGGUAAUGCUUUGAACAAGGAUUUCAAUCUGUGAUAGGAACAAAUAACAAGGACAGUUGUAAAUAAUUGAUUUCUUCACAUGGGAUGAAUAGAUAUAUUAGCCAAGUAACUGAUUUUACGUUAUUUGUACUAAAGCUUUUUCAAGGGAGUAUAGAUAUCUGAAAUACAAGCAACACAAGAUUAAUAUAAUAUAAUUUUUAUUGUAUUUCUAUCCUACUUCAUUUCAUUUUUAUUGUUUUUAUGAGUACUAUCGGGUCUGCUAAACCCUUUGUGUGUAGUAGAUAUUGGCAGACAUCUUGAUACUUUGUGCUAUAGACAGGCAAUAAUGAGGUCUGCGAAUUGUACACCUGGUACCUUAUACUUUUAACUACAAAGUUGAUGUAGUUAUCAUCAAUUACAAUAAGUUUUUGUAUCAUAUAUGUAUUAAUAAUGUGUUACUUUGACAGUUUUGUGCAUUCUAUUGUUGAAUAAAAUUUUAAACACGA